This 253-nucleotide ribosomal RNA is filed under the name uncultured bacterium. Its description in RNAcentral is "partial 16S ribosomal RNA". It matches the Rfam family "Bacterial small subunit ribosomal RNA", at positions 524 to 776 of the family's 1533-position model. The record is from RNAcentral.
UACGUAGGGGGCAAGCGUUGUCCGGAAUUAUUGGGCGUAAAGAGCUCGUAGGCGGCCUGUUGCGUCCGCUGUGAAAUCCCGGGGCUCAACCCCGGGCGUGCAGUGGAUACGGGCUGGCUGGAGGCAGGCAGGGGAGAACGGAAUUCCUGGUGUAGCGGUGAAAUGCGCAGAUAUCAGGAGGAACACCGGUGGCGAAGGCGGGUCUCUGGGCAGUAACUGACGCUGAGGAGCGAAAGCGUGGGGAGCGAACAGG